AAUAUGGCCUUGGGUAGCCUCCUCGAAGCCCAUUGGUCAUGAUUUUUGAUCAAUAAGAAUAGAGAUUUUCAUCAUCCAUCUCCAUUCAUCUUUAUGGAUGCCCUAAACUCUCUUUUUGCUACCAAAAUCCCUCUCCAACUCUUUUUUUUAUAAGAUUUAUUCAAUAUAUGCCUUAAACACCAAAUUAAAGAACCAAAAUAAGACUUCAAGGGUUACCAAUGUCUAAUAAAGGUGAUUCUGAAUAUUUAAAGUUAUUAUCAACAAAAUCAAU
Molecule: long non-coding RNA, 271 nt
Filed under: Physcomitrium patens
Lineage: Eukaryota; Viridiplantae; Streptophyta; Bryopsida; Funariales; Funariaceae
Description: long non-coding RNA (PPAT_LNC010616)
Source: RNAcentral